UCCCUCAUAGCUCAGUUGGUAAAGAAUCUGCCUGCAAUGCAGGAGACCCAGGUUCAAUUCCUGGGUUGGGAA
Molecule: transfer RNA, 72 nt
Filed under: Odocoileus virginianus texanus
Lineage: Eukaryota; Metazoa; Chordata; Mammalia; Artiodactyla; Cervidae
Also listed under: 7 other names
Rfam family: tRNA
About the family: Transfer RNA (tRNA) molecules are approximately 80 nucleotides in length. Their secondary structure includes four short double-helical elements and three loops (D, anti-codon, and T loops).
Source: Rfam by way of RNAcentral